GCCGGUGUAGCUCAGUUGGUAGAGCAACGCAUUCGUAAUGCGUGGGUCGGGAGUUCGAAUCUCUUCACCGGCACCA
RNAcentral lists this transfer RNA (76 nucleotides) under Wenzhouxiangella marina. RNAcentral's name for it is "tRNA-Thr". It matches the Rfam family "tRNA". From Rfam's summary of the family: Transfer RNA (tRNA) molecules are approximately 80 nucleotides in length. Their secondary structure includes four short double-helical elements and three loops (D, anti-codon, and T loops). Lineage: Bacteria; Pseudomonadati; Pseudomonadota; Gammaproteobacteria; Chromatiales; Wenzhouxiangellaceae. The record is from RNAcentral. RNAcentral also lists the same sequence under 2 other names.